CCUUCGGGAGCUGACGAGUGGCGGACGGGUGAGUAAUACUUGGGAAUCUGCCCAGUAGUGGGGGACAACACGGGGAAACUCGUGCUAAUACCGCAUACGUCCUACGGGAGAAAGUGGGGGAUCUUCGGACCUCACGCUAUUGGAUGAGCCCAAGUCGGAUUAGCUUGAUGGUGGGGUAACGGCUCACCAUGGCGACGAUCCGUAGCUGGUCUGAGAGGACGACCAGCCACACUGGGACUGAGACACGGCCCAGACUCCUACGGGAGGCAGCAGUGGGGAAUAUUGGACAAUGGGGGCAACCCUGAUCCAGCAAUGCCGCGUGUGUGAAGAAGGCCUGCGGGUUGUAAAGCACUUUCAGUAGAGAAGAAAAGCCUGAGGUUAAUACCCUCGAGUCUUGACGUAACCUACAGAAGAAGCACCGGCUAACUCCGUGCCAGCAGCCGCGGUAAUACGGAGGGUGCGAGCGUUAAUCGGAAUUACUGGGCGUAAAGCGCGCGUAGGCGGUUUGGUCAGUCGGUUGUGAAAGCCCCGGGCUUAACCUGGGAAUUGCAUUCGAAACUGCCAAGCUAGGGUAUGGGAGAGGGAAGUGGAAUUUCCGGUGUAGCGGUGAAAUGCGUAGAUAUCGGAAGGAACACCAGUGGCGAAGGCGACUUCCUGGCCCAAUACUGACGCUGAGGUGCGAAAGCGUGGGUAGCGAACAGGAUUAGAUACCCUGGUAGUCCACGCCGUAAACGAUGAGAACUAGAUGUUGGGAGGAUUUGCCUCUCAGUG
Molecule: ribosomal RNA, 771 nt
Filed under: uncultured bacterium
Lineage: Bacteria
Description: bacterial SSU rRNA
Rfam family: Bacterial small subunit ribosomal RNA
Source: RNAcentral